RNAcentral lists this small RNA (506 nucleotides) under Pongo abelii (Sumatran orangutan). RNAcentral's name for it is "processed transcript". Lineage: Eukaryota; Metazoa; Chordata; Mammalia; Primates; Hominidae. The record is from RNAcentral.
GACGCAAUCCGCCUGCGCGCUGGGCGGGGAGGGGCGGGGCGGGGCGGGGUGUAGUGUGAGCGGACCGCGGGCGCUGGGCGGGUCCGCGGCGCGGUCGGUCGGCGCCUAUUCUCGGGCUCUUUGGCGGACGAAGCUUCACAAAAGAUGUCUAAGGUGAAUCAGGUCUAGGAAAAUCGACUCUCAUAAACAGCCUAUUCCUAACUGAUCUCUACCCAGAAAGAGUCAUACCUGGAGCAGCAGAAAAAAUUGAAAGAACUGUCCAGAUUGAGGCUUCAACUGUUGAAAUUGAAGAGCGAGGGGUCAAGCUACGCCUGACAGUGGUAGAUACCCCUGGCUAUGGUGACGCUAUCAACUGCAGAGAUUGUCACGUUCCUGAAAAGAAUUGGCAGCCCUGGCCAGGUGCGGUGGCUCACGCCUGUAAUCCCAGCACUUUGGGAGGCUGAGGUGGGCUGAUCACAAGGUCAGGAGUUCGAGACCAGCCUGGCCAACAUGGUGAAACCCUGUCA